CCAUGGAUGUCAUUCCGUAUGCACCAAAGGACAUGCUUGUCACCCUUCUUUUUGUAUGUAAGUUGUAUGAAGGUCUUGCCUCCUCUUUGUUCAACCUAACACGAAUUUCACAAAGGAAAUCUACAUAUCAUGUCCCUCAAUAUGUAACAUGCCAGAGUUCGACUUUGGUUAAAACUCAUAAAAAAAACUCCAAUCCAAUUUGGACAUCUUGUUUUCUGAACCUCUCAUUCUAUGUAGACAAAUUUGGCCCUACAUAUGUUGAGUAACCAAUUUGAUUAUAACUGCUAUAUAACCAACCUACCCCUUAGUGAAGCAUCUUGUAACUUUCGGACUCGGGGUGGGGUGCCACCGAUGUUGCAACUUACAUUGACAAAGACUGUUUCAUCUAAGAAUCAUCCACCUGCUUGAUGGUUAGAAUGUUCAUAAUGGCAGAGCAUUACCCAGGUGCAAAACUGAUGGCUGACCUGGACAAAUAAAACAGACGAUGCUUCAUCUCAAUCCCUAGAAACUAGUUUUGUGAGAUGCAUGCAAGUAGUUUCAAUAUACAGUAAAAAACUAAACAUUUGAAUACAGCACCCGAAGAUGCAUAAGCACACAAUGACAUUAUAUAUCUGAUGUCAAGGAUUAUACAUCUAAUAUCAUGGACAUGAGUAAAUUCUGAUACCAAUAAAUCUGGAUGAUAUCAAAGUUGGGUUUCAUAUCUGAGCAAUUUGUUUUUAAUUAUUUGCGGCAAAAGAUGCCCUAAUUCAAAGAUUAAAUUCAGCAUAAACUCUGUAAAAUGCAUGGGAAAUAAAAUUCACAGUUCAGCCUUUUCGGAUCCUAUAAUUAUUAACUGAAACAUCUAUAGCCAGAUUUGCCAUACAAGGUAUUUUGGCGAUUCACCCCUCAACACACAAACAUGGAAAAAGAAGCACACAACUCAAAUCACAUGACUUUUACUUCGGAUAAGAUAUUACUGCUAUUGAUCUUUCUAUGCAAGAGAGGUGCAUAGAGUAGAGGCUGUCAUCUAUCAAAUACCAUGAUAUCUGCAUCAGAAUAACAUUGUAGUGCAUAUGAACAAAAAGGGAGUAAUAGCACAUGAAGGGAAUGGAAUGCACAACAAUGUUAAUUAUAAAACUUAACCCCAAAAGGAAAAAACAAAACAAUAGGCAUGGGCUUGGAAAGAUGACGCGAUAUCCACUAAAUCCCAAAAGAAAAUCUUGCCAUCUUCAGAUCCACUAGUGACAUAGGCGUCGGUGUUUGUGAGGCAACAAUCCAUCUUGUAGGACUGCCCAAAAGGAAAUAAGACGAUAGCAUGAUGAUAACUUGUAAGUCAUUGUAGAAACGAUACCUAAAAGGAGUAGAAAUGAGAAUGACAUGUAUUAGAAAAAUAUGAGAUGAAUGAUCAGAUACUAAAAUGGUUUGCAUAUAAAAAACCUACAUCUAUUAAGAGACAUUUCAUACAACAUUGCUCCCUAGGACACAAAGUAUGUCAUUCAUUAACAUUAGGAUAAUAGUAUGCAAUUAAUAAUAUAUCAUUCACAACUGGAACAAUUUGACAAUACCAUAAAUGGAAGAGUAAACAUUUACAUUGAUCCUCUCCAUAAUGAACUGAAAAUAAGCAGUAUAUAUUGGGAUUCCGAGAAAAAUAGAAAAGUUCAAGUCAACAAUUUGGUAUAUGUUAACAGUCAGUGAUGAAUAAUAAUGACUGGUAAUAUGGACUUCAGGAAAGAAAGAUAUCCCAACUGCAUCAUGCAGAACAUAAUUGAAACAAAAAAGAAGCGUAUGAAAUAUCCAAGACAUAAUUGAAAAAAAUCAGCUAUAACAAACAAAAAAUCUGACUACAGACUUGGAGCCCCAACAAAUCUAACAUUGCAAGUAUGGCCUUUAUAUUCUUGAAGGAGUUCUCUAGUUGACCUCAGACAAAGACAUUGGAAAUAAGAAACAAGUACCUCACAGUUUGUCUUCACUAUUUAAAAUGGAAAAUCACUGAAAAUAUUUAUUUAUAAAGAAGGUGGAGUGCGGAAUCCAAGCAACUUGCUACUACGCACUUACUGUCAUUUGAAGUCAAUAUGCAGUUCACAGGCUGCCCCAACUCAUCAACUUCCCAGGUUAAUAACAACAAGAGGCCCUAGAAAUGAAUCGAAGAGAAAAGAUAUCAAAAUUUCAAAUGAAAGGAGAAAAGCAAUUAUAAAUGAAAAGAGAAAAGCAACACAUAUAUCAGCUAAGGGACUCUGGGGCUCUCACUGGGCCAAGGGUCACUUACCUACCAACAUGAAUGUCAAAAGUGAAAACGGUCCCAUCCACACUCUCCAGCCAGAAUUUCAGUGUUUGUCAAACAAAUAGAAUUACACAUUCUGAAGAAGUGUCUAUUGCCCGGGGCAUCAAAUGUAAUUAUAAUUUAGAAAUUUUGGAGCAAUUCAAAACCCAAGCAUGCUAAUUUUAUGGUAUCGACCAAACAAAAAGAAUGACACGUAAAGUUGCUCAAAACAAAGUAUUCACCUGAAUUGGCUCAGUGCUGUGUGACCGGCAGUCCCAUGCUCUCACUGAACGAUCAUAACCAGAAUUCACCUGAAAUGAAGACCUAUUUUAGUUCCAUUACCUGGCAUUUAAAUUGGUAUAUGCGAUAGCAGAAAAAACUAGCAAUUAUUCAUGAUUAAAACAGCAUAAGAAUUUCACCCAAAACAAUGUAAGAAAAUUCGGCCACCUUGCCGCCUAGACCGCCACCUAGGUGGCCAUUUUCUCAAACCAUCUAGGCAUGAACUAGGCGGUAUACUCCAGGCGGGUGCAUAUAUAUAUAUAGAACAUUUUGUAAAAGAAUAUUUUGUUAAGUGUAACCACAGGGAAAAUAUUUCUGAUUGUCUUCUAAAGACUUCUAUAGUUUAUUUCUUUCAUUAACAAAGCUAUGUUUAACUUUAAAUUCUAAAUGUCUAAAGAACAGUUUUUGGGUUCAUGAGGAUGAUGAUUAGUGACAACCAAGGCUAAUCUUUCCCUAAAUUCAUAUGAAAUGGCCCAAUGUAAUUUCACACAUGGGGCAUCAGAAAAAUUUCCCACUAGUUUGGGCGAUUGGGAAUAUCUCUUCUUUGUGGCUGUAGUUAAAUUUGGAUUGGAGAACCUAAUUUUUAAGAUUUUUGGGGAAACUCAGGAUAAGGCAAAUCUCGACAAAUUAGAAAUGAGGGAUCCUAAUCUCUUAUUUUCUCCAUUUUUGGGUAUGUCUUCUACAAGAGACAAAGGGGUUGUCACACCCCAAAAAUUUACAAUACUGUUAUUCAUGAGAUGUGACAGACAAAACAUAUAUACAUCUAUUGAUAGGACAAAAUUUACAGUGGCGAGGUCUUACAUAGUAAAUAAAGAAAGCUAGCACAACAACAGUAUCUUCCAAGGUUGAUCUUGACUAGCACUCAAAAUGAAUCCGCAGUUAUCCUGAAAAAAAUGUUUACCAUAGUUUGAUGAAUUUGGCUACUCAGUAAGUGAUCAUCAUAAUCCUAAAAAUAAUCAUGAUUGAAAGAUAUCAAUAUUUUCGAAAAUGAGAUCUAUUAACAGAAAUGCAUCAACAGCUUCACUUUCAAUAAAUGCAUAAUUAAGUAUAAUCCGAAUAAUUGAAAUGCUUAUAACACUUUUAACGGCAGUGCAUAAUUCAAAGGAUUUCACAAAAUACCCUACUGGCGUCCCAAGUAGGUCACCUAUAUACCCCAUCAGCGUCCUGAUGAGUCCACUUAAUCCCUAUCGGCGUCCCAGAUAAGUCCACUUAAUCCC
This 3735-nucleotide long non-coding RNA is filed under the name Amborella trichopoda. RNAcentral's name for it is "long non-coding RNA (ATRI_LNC001804)". Lineage: Eukaryota; Viridiplantae; Streptophyta; Magnoliopsida; Amborellales; Amborellaceae. The record is from RNAcentral.